GCAGAGUUGAUUUAACUCUGGGGAUUUUACUGUGUAUGAAUUUUUGAUUUUCACAACCUUUACCAAGUCACACCCCAACGAAAUUGAGAAUUUUGGAACUGGAGGUCUGGUGGAAUCUCGAGAGAGCUUUUUGACCAACUGAAACAUAACUUGCCCUGACUUCUGACCUGCAUAUCUGAUGCUCUUCUGCUUAACUACGCAGAGACUCUCCCUCAUACAGUGAGUGCUAUUUGUCUAAGCAAAAAAAGAAAAAAAGAAACUGAGCUGAUGGAAAUCAGACCUCAUCAUAUUCAUCUCGCUUCACUUGGACCACCCCAUGACCCUUUUCUCCACUCGGUUUCAAAAGCUCUUCUGCAUCAAGGGAUUAUCAAGUAAAAGAUGUCAUUAAAGAAGAAAGGAAAGAGCACAUUACCCCUUCCCCCACCAAUAAAUGGACAGAGAGGUGCAUAAGUGUCCUAAAUAUAUUCAGGGAUUUUUAUCCCACUCCUCACAAACCGAAGCUCUCAUUAAAAACGGCACGAAGACCUUUAAGGUUUUAAGGUGCAAUGGCUUCAAACAGGCUUUGGACAAUUCUUUCAGGUUUUGUCCAUCUCCCCAGUGACUCUUGAAGCCUCUACUUUUUAUAUUUUUGAAGAAAAUGAAAAAAUAACAAAGUUUCUCUGGUUUAAUAGAAGAAUUGUGACUGUAUCUAAUAAAGGUGAUUUAAUAAAGUGAUUCAGUAAUGCGUUACCAAUCCAUGAUUCCCCACUGAUUUGUCUCAUAACAGUCACUCUAUAAGUGAAAUAACAUUAAGUAGCUUUAUAUGAUCAGAUUUUAUUUUUGUCAUCAUCUUAUAGGCUACUUAUUUUUUUCUUAAUGCAGUUUAGCAAUACUACUUUUUCAUUUUAAAAGAGUAUAAAAAGCUCAAAUAAAUCAAGAAACAAUUUUUUUCAAGCAGGGGAUCAAAUUAGUUGGUCUCGCCUGCAAAGAUUAUAUAAAUCAAUAAUGCAGCAGUGUAAUUCUACCCAUUCAUUUACAGUUUAAACCAGAUUGUAGUGAAAUCUGAAAGAAAUUAUGAUUCAGCAGACACACAUACACAAUACUGUCCGCUAAAAUGAACAUUCCCAUGUUUUGCUGUGCUCAGUGGGUGAUUUAUUCACACACAGUGUGAGUCAGGCCUCAAAUGUUUUUCAGCCCAUUUACUGUCAGCCAAAAGCUUGUUACACUUCAAAGGGGGUUGAGGCUCAGAUUUUCAUUGUUUUGGAUGUAUCUUUGGUUAUACAGUUUUAGUGCAAUAUCUCAUUUUGUAUUGUCGCAUUAAAGCCUGUUGAUGGAAACCUGUGGUGCUCAACGUUUUCUUUUUUUAUGGAGCUUGCUAGAGCUUCCACAGCUCUUCCUCGCUAAUGUAAUUAACUUUAGC
Long non-coding RNA from Megalobrama amblycephala (Wuchang bream), 1399 nucleotides. RefSeq lists it as uncharacterized. The record is from RefSeq and is a predicted model, not a curated record. NCBI's taxonomy places the organism in Eukaryota, Metazoa, Chordata, Actinopteri, Cypriniformes, Xenocyprididae. The transcript has 3 exons.